AGGAGGAACAACCACAGUGGCAGCGGCCAGCUCUGGAUCCCUGGAGUCAGCUCCUGCAGUAACCACUGAGCUCUCCGUCUGCAGGGCCUGGAGGCUCCGGGGCGGG
RNAcentral lists this microRNA precursor (106 nucleotides) under Canis lupus familiaris (dog). RNAcentral's name for it is "mir-8834 microRNA precursor family". It matches the Rfam family "mir-8834 microRNA precursor family". The record is from Rfam by way of RNAcentral. Lineage: Eukaryota; Metazoa; Chordata; Mammalia; Carnivora; Canidae. RNAcentral also lists the same sequence under 1 other name.